CCUCGCUAAUACUGAUCCUGCUGCUGAUCCAAAUGCCCGACUCCCAUAACCCAACCUAGAUCUUAUUAGGGAAAUAUAUAUUUUAAUAAAUUAAAAUCUGCUCCCCGCUCCAGUCCUGAUCGGUCCAACAGCGCCAGUGAGGAAGAGCAGGGAUGAAGAUCCACAGCAAACCGUUAAAGAAACAAAAACACCACACAGUAGAAGACCACCAUCAUCCCUUCAUCAGCACCAGAAUAACUGCUCGUUCACACAUUCAUCAUUAGCUUGUGAAGAAAGAGGGAAUCUGUGCUGUACUGAGUCUUCAGAACCGGAAGAGAUGCUCUUCAGACAUCGUCAUCUUUCUGACAUUUAAUAUUAGACGUCGCUGUUUUAGAAGAGCAAUAUUUGUGAUGGUCUGUCAAAUGAUCUCGUAUAACCCCAGUGACCUGUCAGUUAAUCGCACCAGUGUGUCAUUAGCAGAACAUUAGCAUGUACAGUAGAUGUAAUAGAUUAGAAGCAGCUGUUAUAAGCUCAUAUGAUUGUUGUUUUGUUCUACAGGCGGUGUGUGUGUGUGUGUGUGUGUGUGUGUGCGCUACGAGACCAGUUUUAAGGCCGUUAAACACACUGACCUGACGCUCACGCACUUGAGGAACAGGGUUCGGAGGGGUUUUGCAGACAGAAGCUCUCUGAAACACAUGCACGGCGUUCUCGCAGGUUUUUUGCGCUGAAUAACUCGAGUAAGACACAGUUUGCAGCUCUCUUUUGUCUGACACCCAUUUCAGGCCUUGGACUCUCUGCUAGUGAGCUGAUGAUCUGAACCAGGUGUGUUUGAUUAGGGAGACAUGGAAAUCAAAGCCCUGCGCUUGGGGACGCUGCAAACACACGGGAACAAAGCUUUCUCACAGUAACCGCGGAUCCCGGCCUGCUCUCAUCGCUUGUCCCUGAAUCGUGUCGCUGCUCGCUUGUGUAACGCUGAAAUAUGCUGAACUCUGUUUCUGUCGCUCGUAUUUGCUGGAAAUUGUCAGCAGCUUUGAUUGAAAAUGGAUGAUGUCUGUUGAUUUGUAACUGCUGGACGCUGUAGGAAAGAACGGUCCUGCGUGCGUCGAGCGUUGCUCUUCGUUGACGUUAAAGCAGGGCCUCUCAGCUCUGGCCCUAAUCAAACACACCUGAACAAGCUAACCCGGGUGUUCAGGGUCACUAGAACACUACAGCAGCUGGGUCUGACGUGAUCCGGAGGCCCAGAGCUGAGGAGUCCUGUGUUAAAGACGUCAGCUGCUGCUCAUCAUGUGUCUGGUGUUGUGACGGCUGAUCUGCUCUGUUACUGUAGUAGAUGAAUCAUAUUACUCCUCAAGUUUCUCUUUUUUAUGGCAUGUGCUCUUACUGUAGUGAAUGUAUGUCUGUGCGUGUAGAU
This is a long non-coding RNA of Cyprinus carpio carpio, 1390 nucleotides long. Lineage: Eukaryota; Metazoa; Chordata; Actinopteri; Cypriniformes; Cyprinidae. The record is from Ensembl.